ACUGAUUAAUGUUUUACACAGGUACUGCUUCAAGAACAAUCUAAAUUAAUUUGAGAUAAUAAGCCAUCACCUAUAGGACAGAUAGUAUAAACCCCAAUUAAAUAAAAGUGGGUAAGUAGCUGUAAAGUCAUAGAUAUUAAAGUUAAAACCCAGUACUCUUAUUGUGUACUGAUGAGAUUGACUUGCUAGAUGUUUAAGAUCAAGACUUAAAGAUUGAGAUUAAUAUAAAGGGGCCAAGCAAAUCAAUAUUUGGCUCUUGCCCUCAGAGUCAGCCUGAAUCCAGGGAACAAGAGAACUUCUCUAAGGAGCUUUGCAACUCUGGGUCACACAAUCUCCUGAUCAGAGAGACUGAUGAAAGCAGUAGAAGAAGAAAAGCCAAUCAGUGCACCUGCUGCAGAGGAGAGUCAUUGGAAAAAGCAGAUAUGCCUGAUGCUUCCAAGGGAAGGCACCUCAUAAAGGAGACUCUACCUAGUGAAUGGCACUAAAGGAGUGAAAAACUGCUCUCAAGUUCCCCACAGGUGAACCCUGUGAGAACUCAGUUGACUGUUAACAGCUUAUAGGAACAAGGUUCAACUUAUGAGAGAACCAGUUUCAGGAGACCACUGAUUUCCAACACCCAUUUCAGUCAGAAGACUAUGGCUACAUCAAAUUGUUCUAGAAAGGACUAAUACCCAGCUGAAAUGGAAGGGACCUUACUCACAACAUGAACUUGUCACAUCUGAGUCAAGACAAGAGAAAAAUGGACAGCUCUCAGAGACUCCAACCACCAUCUAAAGAUAAGACUGAAAAAAUGUUAAUCAUGUUUUUUCUCUUACUUGGACUACAUCAGGAAUAGUUCCAUGCUUGGCCCUUCAACUUUUUGAGAUUACCAAAUGGAAUGAUUCUGUGUUACUGUUCACAUCUUUCCCCAGGUGUAUGAUGGGGAGGAAAAAGGGAACAUAUGGGGCUCAUGCAUUGAUCUAAAUGAGUGACCACUGUCUUAGUUCCCCUCCUAGAGGAAAUAAACAUAGCCAGCUACACAGCUAUAGGGACCACCACACUUAUUACAGGAAACCAAAAUUUCAAAACCUUAAGUAGACAAAUAGAUCUAAACUUAAAUAAAUUUUUAAAAAAUUCUGUAAGCCACUGAAAAAUUCCCUUGAUUCAUUUGCUAAGGUAGUUUUACAAAAAAAAAAAAAAAAACAACAACAACAAAAAAAAAACACCAGAGUUAAACUUGCUGUGUUUAAAAUAAAAAAAAAAAAAAAUUAUGUAUGGCCUUAGGGGAGACCUUUUGUUUCUAUACUAAACACUCAGGUGUCAUUCAUGAUACUUUAUCUUUGAUUUUUAUCUUUGAUCUUAAAAAAAGGCUCAAAAAAGUGAAAAAAAAAAAAAAAAAACUAAAAGCCUGAGAAAAAUUGGUACCAAAAUCUGUUCUCUUGGUUCCCCUGGUUAACUACUCUAAUAACCACAAUGGUGAGACCUCUUACCCUAGUUAUGUUGGGACUUUUAAUCAGGCCAUACACGAUAAACUGUUCAACUAAAUAUGUUAGAGAUAGAAUCCAGUCUGUUAUGCUAAUGGUGUUGCACACUCACUACAAUCACCUACACACUACUAGUAAGUCAAUGAUUUGAUUAUGUACAAAAAAACAGUGGGGAAUGUGAUGGGCUGACAGAUCUGGCUGCAUGAGAAUGUUAUAGGCCAGACUCUAAGGAAAAUGACUAAACAGACUCCAUUUUGCUCCAUGAAUCCAUGUUAUGUAUGAAAUAAGCUUCUCCCAUGGGAGCACCCUGCCAGUGUACCCAUCAACAGUUACUUAGCAUGUCAUGUUUAGUAAUACAAAAUGACAAUUUCUAUGUAAA
Sciurus carolinensis (gray squirrel) is the source of this 1842-nucleotide long non-coding RNA. RefSeq lists it as uncharacterized. The transcript is spliced from 2 exons. The record is from RefSeq and is a predicted model, not a curated record. NCBI's taxonomy places the organism in Eukaryota, Metazoa, Chordata, Mammalia, Rodentia, Sciuridae.